This 497-nucleotide ribosomal RNA is filed under the name uncultured bacterium. RNAcentral describes it as "partial 16S ribosomal RNA". It matches the Rfam family "Bacterial small subunit ribosomal RNA", at positions 28 to 507 of the family's 1533-position model. The record is from RNAcentral.
GAUGAACGCUGGCGGCGUGCCUAAUACAUGCCAGUCGAGCGAACGGACGAGAAGCUUGCUUCUCUGAUGUUAGCGGCGGACGGGUGAGUAACACGUGGAUAACCUACCUAUAAGACUGGGAUAACUUCGGGAAACCGUAGCUAAUACCGGAUAAUACUUUGAACCGCAUGGUUCAAAAGUAAAAGACGGUCUUGCUGUCACUUAUAGAUGGAUCCGCGCUGCAUUAGCUAGUUGGUAAGGUAACGGCUUACCAAGGCAACGAUGCAUAGCCGACCUGAGAGGGUGAUCGGCCACACUGGAACUGAGACACGGUCCAGACUCCUACGGGAGGCAGCAGUAGGGAAUCUUCCGCAAUGGGCGAAAGCCUGACGGAGCAACGCCGCGUGAGUGAUGAAGGUCUUCGGAUCGUAAAACUCUGUUAUUAGGGAAGAACAUAUGUGUAAGUAACUGUGCACAUCUUGACGGUACCUAAUCAGAAAGCCACGGCUAACUACGUG